Molecule: small nuclear RNA, 113 nt
Filed under: Dipodomys ordii (Ord's kangaroo rat)
Lineage: Eukaryota; Metazoa; Chordata; Mammalia; Rodentia; Heteromyidae
Description: U4 spliceosomal RNA (ENSDORG00000020942.2)
Rfam family: U4 spliceosomal RNA (bases 1-71)
About the family: U4 small nuclear RNA (U4 snRNA) is a component of the major U2-dependent spliceosome.
Source: RNAcentral
AGCUUUGCGCAGUGGCAGUAUCGUAGCCAAUGAGGUUUAUCCAAGGCGCGAUUAUUGCUAAUUGAAAUAAUGCUCAAGGCAUACCCUGUGACAUUAAGAAAACUGAGGGCAGG